This is a long non-coding RNA of Macadamia integrifolia, 299 nucleotides long. RefSeq lists it as uncharacterized. Lineage: Eukaryota; Viridiplantae; Streptophyta; Magnoliopsida; Proteales; Proteaceae. The record is from RefSeq and is a predicted model, not a curated record. The transcript has 2 exons.
GGCCAAAUGGGUCAUGCAUGAGUACAGGUUGAAAGGAAAUACACCCCCAAACAGCCAAGAUUGGAGCACAACCAAAUAUUUCAGAAGAGUUACUGUGGGAAGAAAACAAAUGUUUGAGGGCUAGCGAGACUGAGUUCCUUUGGGGAUGAAUUGGGUCCAUUCCCUUUGAAUCCAAGACCAAAACCGACCAGCUGAGACAGCUCAUGUGACCUACUUCUUUUUUCUACUUCUACUAACCCUUCUGAUGUGUCCCGUUCUUCAUUGAUUAUCUUAAACUUCCGAACCUAUUUUACUCCACA